This 235-nucleotide ribosomal RNA is filed under the name uncultured bacterium. RNAcentral's name for it is "partial 16S ribosomal RNA". It matches the Rfam family "Bacterial small subunit ribosomal RNA", at positions 99 to 334 of the family's 1533-position model. The record is from RNAcentral.
CGGACGGGUGAGUAACGCGUGGGUAACCUGCCUCACACUGGGGGAUAACAGUUAGAAAUGACUGCUAAUACCGCAUAAGCGCACGGUAUCGCAUGGUACAGUGCGAAAAACUCCGGUGGUGUGAGAUGGAUCCGCGUCUGAUUAGGUAGUUGGUGAGGUAACGGCCCACCAAGCCGACGAUCGGUAGCCGACCUGAGAGGGUGACCGGCCACAUUGGGACUGAGACACGGCCCAA